RNAcentral lists this ribosomal RNA (429 nucleotides) under Chloroflexota bacterium. RNAcentral describes it as "Chloroflexi bacterium partial 16S ribosomal RNA". It matches the Rfam family "Bacterial small subunit ribosomal RNA", at positions 355 to 776 of the family's 1533-position model. Lineage: Bacteria; Bacillati; Chloroflexota. The record is from RNAcentral.
UAGGGAAUCUUCGGCAAUGGACGAAAGUCUGACCGAGCAACGCCGCGUGAGUGAAGAAGGUUUUCGGAUCGUAAAACUCUGUUGUUAGAGAAGAACAAGGACGUUAGUAACUGAACGUCCCCUGACGGUAUCUAACCAGAAAGCCACGGCUAACUACGUGCCAGCAGCCGCGGUAAUACGUAGGUGGCAAGCGUUGUCCGGAUUUAUUGGGCGUAAAGCGAGCGCAGGCGGUUUCUUAAGUCUGAUGUGAAAGCCCCCGGCUCAACCGGGGAGGGUCAUUGGAAGCUGGGAGACUUGAGUGCAGAAGAGGAGAGUGGAAUUCCAUGUGUAGCGGUGAAAUGCGUAGAUAUAUGGAGGAACACCAGUGGCGAAGGCGGCUCUCUAGUCUGUAACUGACGCUGAGGCUCGAAAGCGUGGGGAGCAAACAGG